AACGAACGCUGGCGGCAUGCCUAACACAUGCAAGUCGAACGAGACCUUCGGGUCUAGUGGCGCACGGGUGCGUAACGCGUGGGAACCUGCCCUUAGGUUCGGAAUAACUCCCCGAAAGGGGUGCUAAUACCGGAUAAUGUCUUCGGACCAACGAUUUAUCGCCUUUGGAUGGGCCCGCGUUGGAUUAGCUAGUUGGUAGUGUAAAAGCCUACCAAGGCGACGAUGCAUAGCUGGUCUGAGAGGAUGAUCAGCCACACUGGGACUGAGACACGGCCCAGACUCCUACGGGAGGCAGCAGUGGGGAAUAUUGGACAAGGAGCGAAAGCCUGAUCCAGCAAUGCCGGGUGAGUGAGGAAGGCCUUAGGGUUGUAAAGCUCUUUUACCCGGGAUGAUAAUGACAGUACCGGGAGAAUAAGCUCCGGCUAACUCCGUG
This 433-nucleotide ribosomal RNA is filed under the name uncultured bacterium. RNAcentral's name for it is "partial 16S ribosomal RNA". It matches the Rfam family "Bacterial small subunit ribosomal RNA", at positions 29 to 507 of the family's 1533-position model. The record is from RNAcentral.